CGGACGGGUGAGUAACACGUGGAUAACCUACCUAUAAGACUGGGAUAACUUCGGGAAACCGGAGCUAAUACCGGAUAAUAUAUUGAACCGCAUGGUUCAAUGGUGAAAGACGGUUUUGCUGUCACUUAUAGAUGGAUCCGCGCCGCAUUAGCUAGUUGGUAAGGUAACGGCUUACCAAGGCAACGAUGCGUAGCCGACCUGAGAGGGUGAUCGGCCACACUGGAACUGAGACACGGUCCAGACUCCUACGGGAGGCAGCAGAU
RNAcentral lists this ribosomal RNA (263 nucleotides) under uncultured Staphylococcus sp. Its description in RNAcentral is "partial 16S ribosomal RNA". It matches the Rfam family "Bacterial small subunit ribosomal RNA", at positions 99 to 354 of the family's 1533-position model. The record is from RNAcentral. Lineage: Bacteria; Bacillati; Bacillota; Bacilli; Caryophanales; Staphylococcaceae.